CCUACGGGUGGCAGCAGUGAGGAAUAUUGGUCAAUGGACGAGAGUCUGAACCAGCCAAGUAGCGUGAAGGAUGACUGCCCUAUGGGUUGUAAACUUCUUUUAUAUGGGAAUAAAAUGUUCCACGUGUGGGAUUUUGUCUGUACCAUAUGAAUAAGGAUCGGCUAACUCCUUGCCAGAAGCCUCGGUAAUACGGCGGCUCCGAGCGUUAUCCGGAUUUCUUGGGUUUAAAGGGAGCGUAGGUGGAUUGUUAAGACAGUUGUGAAAGGUUGCGGCUCAACCGUAAAAUUGCAGUUGAAACUGGCAGUCUUGAGUACAGUAGUGGUGGGCGGAAUUCGUGGUGUAGCGGUGAAAUGCUUAGAUAUCACGAAGAACUCCGAUUGCGAAGGCAGCUCACUGGACUGCAACUGACACUGAGGCUCGAAAGUGUGGGUAUCAAACAGGAUUAGAUACCCCGGUAGUC
Molecule: ribosomal RNA, 460 nt
Filed under: uncultured bacterium
Lineage: Bacteria
Description: partial 16S ribosomal RNA
Rfam family: Bacterial small subunit ribosomal RNA
Source: RNAcentral